GUCUAUGGUCAUACAACCCUGAGCACACCUGAUCUCGUCUGAUCUCAGAAGCUAAGCAGGGUCGGGCCUGGUUCGUACUUGGAUGGGAGAAGUAUAGAGAUUUCCCAUAUAUC
Ribosomal RNA from Vulpes vulpes (red fox), 113 nucleotides. The record is from Ensembl. NCBI's taxonomy places the organism in Eukaryota, Metazoa, Chordata, Mammalia, Carnivora, Canidae.